GACGAACGCUGGCGGCGUGCUUAACACAUGCAAGUCGAACGGAAAGGCCCUGCUUGCCGGGUACUCGAGUGGCGAACGGGUGAGUAACACGUGGGUGAUCUGCCCUGCACUUCGGGAUAAGCCUGGGAAACUGGGUCUAAUACCGGAUAGGAGCCAUUUUUAGUGUGAUGGUUGGAAAGUUUUUUCGGUGUAGGAUGAGCUCGCGGCCUAUCAGCUUGUUGGUGGGGUAAUGGCCUACCAAGGCGGCGACGGGUAGCCGGCCUGAGAGGGUGGACGGCCACAUUGGGACUGAGAUACGGCCCAGACUCCUACGGGAGGCAGCAGUGGGGAAUAUUGCACAAUGGGCGCAAGCCUGAUGCAGCGACGCCGCGUGGGGGAUGACGGCCUUCGGGUUGUAAAUUCCUUUCGCUAGGGACGAAGCUUUUUGUGACGGUACCUAGAGAAGAAGCACCGGCUAACUACGUG
This 465-nucleotide ribosomal RNA is filed under the name uncultured bacterium. RNAcentral describes it as "partial 16S ribosomal RNA". It matches the Rfam family "Bacterial small subunit ribosomal RNA", at positions 28 to 507 of the family's 1533-position model. The record is from RNAcentral.